Molecule: ribosomal RNA, 484 nt
Filed under: uncultured bacterium
Lineage: Bacteria
Description: partial 16S ribosomal RNA
Rfam family: Bacterial small subunit ribosomal RNA
Source: RNAcentral
AUUGAACGCUGGCGGCAUGCUUUACACAUGCAAGUCGAACGGCAGCGCGGGCUUCGUCCUGGCGGCGAGUGGCGAACGGGUGAGUAAUGCAUCGGAACGUGCCCAGUAGUGGGGGAUAGCCCGGCGAAAGCCGGAUUAAUACCGCAUACGACCUGAGGGUGAAAGCGGGGGACCGAAAGGCCUCGCGCUAUUGGAGCGGCCGAUGUCGGAUUAGCUAGUUGGUGGGGUAAAGGCUUACCAAGGCGACGAUCCGUAGCUGGUCUGAGAGGACGACCAGCCACACUGGGACUGAGACACGGCCCAGACUCCUACGGGAGGCAGCAGUGGGGAAUUUUGGACAAUGGGGGCAACCCUGAUCCAGCCAUGCCGCGUGCGGGAAGAAGGCCUUCGGGUUGUAAACCGCUUUUGUUCGGGAAGAAAUCCUCUGGGCUAAUACCCCGGGGGGAUGACGGUACCGGAAGAAUAAGCACCGGCUAACUACGUG